ACAAGCAAGAACCCACACAUGCCCCAGUGUGUUUUGUUUGUACACUCAGUCCUCAAACCUUGUUCUAAAUGACCAAAAUUAAGGAUGCUUCUUCUAAAUUGUAAUCGAUAUAAGGCUCAGUUGGGACCCCAACAGCUCAAGUACAUGACAGUCCUCAAAGCCUCUUCUGAUUGUUUAGACUGCCUCAGUCCUUUGGAAAUUGCGGCUGAGGAUUGAGAUGAGAGGUUCUUGGCCUGAGAAGCUGAUCUCAUAUGGUUCUUGGCAUGCUGGACAGCUGACCUUACAGUGUAGUUCCAUCUGCAGAUACCUUGGUCUUUCAGAGCCUCCACAGCUCCAAUACUAGCUGCAACAAUCCAUGCUCUGCUUGUUGAACUCAUCUUUGCAAAUACUUCUCUUAGAUUAUUGAAUGUUGAAAUUGAAGAAAGCUUAUAUAAAGACGGAUAGACUGUGAUUUUGUUGAUUGAUGCUUAAGCGAAGGGGGCUGCUUAUAUUUAUAGGAUAGGGAUAGGGAUAGGGAUCAAAAAGCCAUAAACUGGGGGAAAGGAACGACAGGCCAUCUGCUCUAGCUCAUGGUUUUUGGAGACGAUGGUUUUGUUUAUUUUGGGCAGGUGGGUUGGACCUACUUGGAGUUAUCCUUAUGACCCCAAUUAGCUGAGGGCAAUGAAUGGUAUUUAGGAUAAUAAUUCAAUCUUGGGAUGAUUAAAGAUGGCCCACGGGCACACCAUUUAUUCUAAAUAAUUAAAUAGCCAGUGAGGAGUAUGGGAGUACAAAAGUCCAAACCACCUGUUUUCUACCUCGGUAUUUGGAGGAAAACAGGAGGCAAAUUUUGGCACAUGACCAAACUCAGUGCCACGUACUGAGUUCGUCAUUGAAUAUUUACAAUCUCUUAGGUUAUGUGCUACCCAAUUCUCUAAUCCACGUUGCAGCGGGAUUGGCUGACACACUAGUAAUUCAUGCAAAUAACUUAAGAGUAUCGAAUUUUGAACCAUAAAUUUUCCUGGAAAAAAAGAAAAAACUGAAGAGCUGGUAUUAACUAAAUAAUUAUUUCGGAAAAAGCAUUAACAAAAAUAAUUAGAACAAAAGAAUUGAAGAAACCCAGACACUUUACUUCAUGGUUGAGACUCAAAACAUAUCCUGUCUACGGUUUAAUUCGAAUUUUAAAGAUCCUGCAGGGAAGAUUUUUUUUUUCUUCAAAGAAAAAGAAAUUGUCAUUAAUUUGAUGUAUUUUUUCCCAUACUUUUUUAAUCUAUUUUAAUUAUUAUAAUUUUAUACAAUUUUUUUAAUAUAUUUUUUAAUGCAUUCAUGUAUAAAUAAAUUUUAUUUAUAUUAUUAUCUUAAUUUUCAUAUUAGAGAUAAAUAUCAUCAUGUCUUUAUUUAUUUAGUUUUCCAUUACAAUUUCAUUUAGAAAAUAUGUAUUUAAGUUAUAUUUUAUUCAAAAAGAAGGAAAAAAAAAUUAUCCUUUUGUCAGAGAAAAUAGGAAGGCUUUCAUAGCCAUUCAAUAUAGAUUCCAAAUGAUAUAUCUACAAUUUUCAUAUUCCCUCGCCAUUCUGAAGGACUACAAUCUAACAUACUACAACUUCAUACAUUUACAUAUAUGUUUGGAACAAUUGCAGGAGGAAAUAUGUUGGCCUGAGAAUAUGAUCUGAGAUUGUUGUUGACAUGUUGGACCUUAUUACAUGAUUCUGCCUGCAAAAGCCUCAAUGUGUUUGAUUGCUCAGUCGUCGUCAAACCUUCUUCUGAAUGUCCAAAGCUUGCACUCACGAGUCAAUGAUUCACCCAAAUAAAGGAUGUUUCUUCUAAAUUGUAAGCGAUUUUGACAGAUUUAAGGCUCAGUUGGGACCCCAACAACUCAAGUACAUGACUGUCCUCAAAGACUCUUCUGAUUGUUUAGACUUGUUCAGUCCCUUUGAAAUUGCAGCUGAGGAUUGAGAAGAGAGGUUCUUGGCCUGUGAAGCUGACCUCACAUGGUUCUUGGCAUGCUGCACAACUGACCUUACUGUGUAGUUCCAUCUGCAGAUACCUUGGUCUUUCAGUGCCUCCACAGCUCCAAUACUAGCUGCAACAAUCCAUGCUCUGCUACUUGAACUCAUCCUUGCAAAUACUGUAAUCUUGAUUCUUGAAAUAGAAAUAGAAGCUUGUUUAAGAGAAAUACUGUGUGAUUUUGUUGGUAGGUAAGUGAAGGGGGCCGCUUAUAUUGAUAAGAUGGGGGAAUAAUGAUGGAUUAGAAAGCCAAAAAUUAGAAGGAAACUACGGGCAAUUUGCCGGUGGUUUUCGACAGUGGUUUUUAGUUUUCUUUCCAUGGCAAGGUAGGUCCGACGCAUUUGGUAUAGUAUGACUUAAAUACCCAUCUAAAAUCACUUGAUGACAGGAAAUAAAUGAGGGCAAUAAAUGAAAUUUAGGACAGCAUUCAAUCGUGACAUUAUUAAAAAUGGGCUUGUUUAUUAAUAAGUUUCAACUUGGAGACCUGAAAUAUGUGACUACAAAAAGUCUAAACCACCUGUUUUCUCCCCUGGGAUUGGGAAUUGGAAAACAGACUGCGGUUAUUUUUUUUUUUUCAUUUUAUGAAUAAAAAAUCAUCCUCCUAGGGAAGAAGGUCCAAGUGAUGAUCCUAUUAUCUAUGGAAGUUUUUGGAAGAGCAUUUAGAGUAUUGAAUUGAUCCAGUGGUAUGUACUGAUGCGAAUUAGAGAUUGAGACAUUUGAAUAUUUUAUGUUUGCCCACGCAGAAGGUGUUUGGAAAGUUGUAACGUUAAGUUACUGUCCAAGAAAAGAGGGUUUAGAGGAUUCCCGCAUUGGUGGUUGGAGAUUUUGAAUUGGCUCGGGAAAAAUGGGUUGUGGUCUGAAGUUGGUUUGAUUGCUAAUACUUGUUGGUCCCUUUGGAAGGCACGGAAUGAGUUGAUGUUUGACAACCGUGCUUGCGAUUCGAUUGCGACUUGGAACAGAGCUUUGCUCGACAACCCUUGCGUUUCUGAAGGAAGCGAUCAAAUGAAACCGGUUCAUAACGUGAGUGAAAAUCAAAGAUGGAGAAAACCAACAUUUGGAACUGUUAAAAUUAACUGUGAUGCGUUGAUGGAUUCGGGUUCUCCAAUGACUGGUGUAAAGCCCAAAAUUUGCUCGGGCCCAACUCACUCAAAACAGUCAAAUUACAAAAAAAAACAAGCUCAGAUUUCACUACCCAAAUUACAAUGCCCAAAUAAACCAAAACCCUAAAGCCCAAAUGGCCCAAAAUCUAAAACAAUUUCAACCAAACAAAAAGAAAGACAGAAACCCUAGGUGCGCCGCACAUAGGUCCACACGCGCGAUGCCUUCACACGCCUCCACGUCCACUGCUCCGUACAUGCAAGAAGGAUAAACAACCUGCAACGAACACACGGCAGCAAAAAGAAAUGACAGAAAAGGGGCAACAAAGGGGAUUUGGGAGAUUUUCUUUUUAUUUUAUUUUAUUUUUAUUUUUUUCUGUAAUUCUGGCCAUAAAAAGGCCAUUCGAAUAUUGUAAACAAAAGGGAGGAGGCAUAUUGUAUACAAAAAAAAAAUUCAGAGGAAUCGAAAACAAAAAAAAAAGGAUUUGAAAAGGUGAUUUGUAGUUGCUUUUGUUCUGGGUUUUUCUUUUGCCUUUCUCGGUUUCCUUUCAUUUCUGUCUUUUUCUAUAUAUGCAAAACAACAAAAAAGAGAUAAAAAAGGGGCUUAGGGAUCUUAACGGGGGUCGGUACGUCGCCAAAUCUCUCCACCGUUUAGGUCGAGGUUGAAUGAGAGGGGAGGGACCUUCGAUUUUGAAUCGGCGCAGAGAGGAGAGCGUUCGGAUUCCUUUUAUUUAUUUUUUGUUUUUUAUUUCCGUUUUGAAAAAUGAAAUGGUGGCUACCAAUUUAGGGUUUGGCUUUUGACCUUUGCCUGUUGUAUGAAACGACGCCGUUUGGAGUCUGACCAGUGGCUCCAAAACGGCGUCACAUCGAUCCAGAUCCAUUAGCAACCCGACCCGCUCCAUGGGGGAUCCGCGUGUUUUGAUUAAUGGGUUAUUUACAACCCUGGUCCCUCCGCUUUUCAAGCGCGUUUCAAUCUAGUUCUUUUAUUUCUUUUUAAAUUUAAUCUCUUAUUUCAUUUUUGUUUCAUUUUAACCCAGCUUGCAACGCUACGUUUUGGGGAAGCGAGAUAUUUCCCAAUCGGCCCCCAUGUAAUUCGCGCAUUGCAGUAUAACCUUCCAUUUUAACUUAAUCUUAUUUAUUUCCUAAUAAUUCGAUUUUGAUUGCGAUUUAACUCUUUUCAUUAUUCAAUUUUUUUAUUAACAAAUUUACUGUUAUUAUUAUUAUUAUUAUUAGUAUUAUCCUACGUAUAUUUAUCAUUAUUAUAUUUAUUAUCAUUUUUAUAUAUCUGCUUUUCGUAUAUAUGCAUUAUUUUAUUUUGCAUGCAUCUUUUUAAGGUUUCUUUCAAAAUUUUUUUAUAUAUAUUUACCCUUUGUUAUGACAUACUAUUAUUAAUAUUUCUUAAGUUUAUUUUAUUUUAAAUGUGCUUUUUAUAAAUUCACUCAUUAUAUAUCUUAGAUUUAUAUAAAUAUACACUUUCAAGUAAUACUAUUAUGUGAUAAUACUACAUAUGUACACUUAUUCUAUGUCGAAUUAUUUUCAUUAUAUAUAUGCAUACAUACGUACAUAAUCCAUUGUUAAUUUCACAUUAUCAUAUAGAUAUUUUAUUUCUCUCAAACAUUUUAACAACCUAUUUUAAAGAUUGUUAAUUCAUUCAAAUUUGUUUCAACUUUUUAAUUUAUUUAAAUUAGGUUUAAGCUUAUAUAUUUCAUUUGAGCUAUGUGAAUUUGCUUGACUUUUAAUUAGCCUCCUCUUGUUAGCCAAUGUUGAUAUUUAUGUGAUCUAUGUUUGAAAUUAUUAUUGUCAUGCUUGUUCGUAUUUGUUCAUUGGUUGCUUAUUGUUCAUUGAUGUACAUUUUAUCUUUGAAUUAUCCUUUUCGCGUUUUAUGAAAACAUUUAACCAUAUUACAUUGUUUAAGAGAUUGUAUUUUACUAAAAUAUCGAAAUAGUUUUAAGUUUCCAAAAUACCCUACGUCCAAUGAUUCUCAAGAAAAUUGUGCCCUAACUUACUAGGCUUCGAUUUUCUUCGUUGAAUUUAGGUGGCCAAUGUCUUUAAAAUAAAACCGUAAUUUUUAAAUAAAUUUUCUCGGGAUUUCAAAAUGUUGGUCCCUAACUCACUAGAUCUGACAACUUUACUACCUCGAAUUAAGGAUUUUUAAGAUAAAUGCAAUAUUUGGUGUUUAAGAAUCUCGAGAAAUUAAACCCUAACUUACUGGGUUUUAACUUACCGUUUAACUCAAAUAACCAGAUAUCCUUCUCAAAUUAAAACACGCGAGUUUUAAAAAUUUAAAAGAUAUACCUAAUUUCGAAGAUUGAACUGUCGUACUCUAACUUACUGAGUGUGGCAAUUUAUCUUCUCGAAAUAAGUGAGUCUAUCAUCCAAUUCAUUUUAUUCGAAUUUUCUUUUUAAAGGAUCGUAUUUUAGAAUCUUUUCAAAAUUUCGACAUUAAGACAUUAAACAAUCAAUUCGGUACAAAUUUUGAGCGUCACGAGGGUGCUAACCCUUCCUCGUGUGUAACCGACUCCCGAACCUGUUUUCUCAAAAUUCGCAGACCUAAAAUUAUUUUCAAGAUGAUCCGAUCAUACCUCAAUAAAAGAUCGGUGACAACCCCAUUUUCAUUUUUAAAAGUCGAUUUUCCUUUUUAAAAAAUUUUGUUUUUCAAAAAAAUGGUUUCGACAACUGGUAUUGCAGUAAUUGCACGAGAUUGUAAUGAAAAAUUCUUGACGGAAUCAACGCACUUGUUCGGACUACAUCUGUACGAGUGGCUGAGGCCUUGGCCUUAAGGCUUGGUUCGGUUCUUGAAAACAGAUGGCAAUGGCAAUCUAUUAUCUUUGAAUCUAACAACAAGGAGCUGAUUUACUCUGAAGAAUAAAGUCGGUUAAAUUCUGAUAUAUCAGGAAAGCGUCAAAAAAAUAGAGUUGAAAAUUUGAAGAAAAAACAACAGAACUGAAACAGGGACAUCGAUUUCAGGAGAAAAUAGCACAAAAAUAAAAAACAAACAAGUCUCAAAAUUCUUUUCAUUAGUUAUAUGAAGACAGAGAACUCAUUUCUUACAUCCAUUUGUAAGUUAUAUACAUUAUGCAAGCAAAGAACCCAGCCAUGCCCCCAGUCCUCAAACCUUGUUUUGAUUGACCAAAGCUUGCACUCAGGAGUCAAUGAUUCACCCAAAUUAAGAAUGUUCCUUGUAAAUUGUCAUCGAUUUUGACAGACUUAUGGCUCAGUUGGGACCCCAACAGCUCAAGUACAUGACAGUCCUCAAAGACUCUUCUGAUUGUUUAGACUUGUUCAGUCCCUUUGAAAUUGCAGCUGAGGAUUGAGAGGAGAGGUUCUUGGCCUGUGAAGCUGACCUCACAUGGUUCUUGGCAUGCUGCACAACUGACCUUACUGUGUAGUUCCAUCUGCAAAUACCUUGAUCUUUCAGAGCCUCCACAGCUCCAAUACUAGCUGCAACAACCCAUGCUCUGCUUGUAGAACUCAUCUUUGCAAACACUUGAUUCUUGAAUGUUGAAAUUGAAGAAAGCUUGUAUAAAGACAGAUACACUGUGGUUUUGUUGAUUGAUGCUCAAGUGAAAGGGGGUUGCUUAUAUUUAUAGGAUAGCAAAAAAGGGGUGGUCCAGAAAGCCAAAUAUUAGGAGAAAACAACAGGCUAUAUGCUCGUGGUUUUCCUUUUCCUGGGCGGGUGGGGUUGGAUGCACUUGGAACCAUAUGACUUAAAUGCCCAUCUGAAAUCACUUGACGACAACAAAUAGAUAUAGGAUAAUAUUCAAUGAAUGCACGGUGGGCACAUGGUUUGCUCUUAAUAAACUAAUAGCGGGCUGACUACGGGAGUACAACAGUCCAAACCACGCAAUUGGGAAUUGAAAAACAAGAGGCAUAUUUUGGAAUAUGAUAAGAGCAAACUUUUCGCCACGUAUUGAGUUCGUAAUCAAAUAUCUGUACAAUUUCUUUGUUUAUAUAUAGUCACUCCUUGCUUAUGAGCUAGUAUUGGUAUGUGCUUCCCGAUCAUCUAAUCUACCUGGCAGCAGGAUCGCCUGACCGACUAAUCAUUCAUGCAAAUAAUUUAACUUUUUUAAUAUUUACUUCAUUUCGUAAAGAAAAAUUAGUAUAAGUGAAAAAGGACAGACGUCUGACGUAAAUAAAGACCAACGGUUGGGUUUAAUGUAGUUCAUGGUAAUAAAAUUGAUGUUUUAUUAUUAAAAAAAAUUCAUAUUUUUAUAGAAAGAGCAAAGGUUGGAAUAAAACGCACAAAGUUAUGAAACUAGAAAUUGACAUCAUCUAUUACAAAACUAAGGUAAGUUGCAUCUAUCUGAUUGUUAGAUUUUAUGCAGAGCAAAAGGCAAGUACUGAUUCAUGUCUCUUCCAAGAUUUCUAACUUUUUAGAAAUGUAAAAUAAUUCUAGUGCUAUGUCCUAUUAAUUUUUGCUGCAUGUAUAUACAGAAAAUCAGAUGCUAACUUUUAUUUAGUUUAACAAAAUAAAAUAGAAAACAUAAAAAUUAAUUGCAUGAUUAUAUAUAAAUUAAGAACACAAGUUGACAAAAUUGCUCCUUUUCUUCUAAUUAAAAGUAGCUUUCACAGCUAUUCAAUACUACAAUUUUCAUAUCCCCUCUCCAUUUUCAAGGACUAAAAUCUAACACACUACAACUUCAUAUAUGCAUAUAUAUAUAAUAGAACGACCAUCAGUGUCAGCAAGGCCCCCAACAGCUCAAGAAUAUUACUUUCCUCAAAGUUUCUUAGCCUGCUUAGUUUUUUCAUCAAAAAGUCUGCUUCGAACAGUUGCAGAAGAAGAAAGCUUCUUGGCUUGAGAAUCUGAUCUGAGAUUGCUGUUGACAUGUUGGCUAAGUGACCUUUAUUGCUUGAUCUUUCAAAGCCUCAACGGCUCCAACACUUGCUGCCCAGCCAUGCCCCACUAUAUUUGAUCGCUCCGUCUUCAAACCUUCUCUUUAAUGUCCAAAGCUUGAACUGACGAAUCAAUGAUUCACCCAAAGGAUGUUCAUACUAGCUUCUAAUGAGAAUUAAGAUGGCUCAGUUGGGACCCCAGCAACUCAAUUACAUGACAGUCCUCAAAGACUCUUCUGAUUGUUUAGACUGCCUCAGUCCUUUGGAAAUUGCAGCUGACGAUUGAGAGGAGAGGUUCUUGGCCUGUGAAGCUGACCUCACGUAGUUCUUGGCAUGCUGCACAACCGCCUUUGCAGCAUAGUUCCAUCUGCAGAUACCUUGGUCCUUCAGUGCUUCCACAGCUCCAAUACUAGCUGCAACAAUCCAUGCUCUCCUACUUGAAC
This 8353-nucleotide long non-coding RNA is filed under the name Gossypium barbadense (sea-island cotton). Its description in RNAcentral is "long non-coding RNA (GBAR_LNC014532)". Lineage: Eukaryota; Viridiplantae; Streptophyta; Magnoliopsida; Malvales; Malvaceae. The record is from RNAcentral.